RNAcentral lists this unclassified non-coding RNA (502 nucleotides) under Hevea brasiliensis (rubber tree). The record is from RNAcentral. Lineage: Eukaryota; Viridiplantae; Streptophyta; Magnoliopsida; Malpighiales; Euphorbiaceae.
GUUUGGUUGGGGGUUGAAGAGAGAGAGAGAGAGAUCACUGCUAAGCAGAGAACAGAAAUUUUUGGACCCAAUAAACCAUCUUAAUGGGAUCACAAAAAAUAUUCUAAAAGGAAUGACAAGUUAGCCUAGCCAUUUUCUGGCAAAGUCCAAUCUAAAUGACUUUAAUUGAUAGGGAAUAAAAUUAAAUUAUUUUACGUGACCAAUUUAAAUUCAAUGACCACAAAGUGAAUUACUAAUAGUUUCAAUGACCAUUAGUGAAACUAAUCCAAGAGGCUUUAGAAUGCAAAACAACUAAAUCUACCAAUACCAUUCCUUGUAGAACCAUGCACAUAAACAUACAAAUUUUAUUCUUAUAGACAAGUUUUAUCAAAAGAAGGUACUAGCAAAACAAGAAGCGCCCAAAGAGCACCUCCGAAAGCCUAUUAAAGGAAAAUGUAGCAUUCUGUCAUUUUAUAAAUUAAAAUCAAUAGCAUGAGAAUAAGGAGAAUUGACCAUGCAUAAG